Molecule: ribosomal RNA, 543 nt
Filed under: Citrobacter sp.
Lineage: Bacteria; Pseudomonadati; Pseudomonadota; Gammaproteobacteria; Enterobacterales; Enterobacteriaceae
Description: bacterial SSU rRNA
Rfam family: Bacterial small subunit ribosomal RNA
Source: RNAcentral
AACGGUAGCACAGAGGAGCUUGCUCCUUGGGUGACGAGUGGCGGACGGGUGAGUAAUGUCUGGGAAACUGCCCGAUGGAGGGGGAUAACUACUGGAAACGGUAGCUAAUACCGCAUAACGUCGCAAGACCAAAGAGGGGGACCUUCGGGCCUCUUGCCAUCGGAUGUGCCCAGAUGGGAUUAGCUAGUAGGUGGGGUAACGGCUCACCUAGGCGACGAUCCCUAGCUGGUCUGAGAGGAUGACCAGCCACACUGGAACUGAGACACGGUCCAGACUCCUACGGGAGGCAGCAGUGGGGAAUAUUGCACAAUGGGCGCAAGCCUGAUGCAGCCAUGCCGCGUGUAUGAAGAAGGCCUUCGGGUUGUAAAGUACUUUCAGCGAGGAGGAAGGUGUUGUGGUUAAUAACCGCAGCAAUUGACGUUACUCGCAGAAGAAGCACCGGCUAACUCCGUGCCAGCAGCCGCGGUAAUACGGAGGGUGCAAGCGUUAAUCGGAAUUACUGGGCGUAAAGCGCACGCAGGCGGUCUGUCAAGUCGGAUGUGA